Long non-coding RNA from Zea mays, 613 nucleotides. RefSeq lists it as uncharacterized. The transcript has 2 exons. NCBI's taxonomy places the organism in Eukaryota, Viridiplantae, Streptophyta, Magnoliopsida, Poales, Poaceae. The record is from RefSeq and is a predicted model, not a curated record.
ACCGAGUCACCGUCUCUGUCUCUCAGCCGCCACCGCCAGAAACCGAGCACCGGCCGCCGGCCAGCCUCCACCAUCAGCCGCCACCACCAGCCGCCACCACCAGAAACCGAGCGCCGGCCAGCCGGUCUCCAAUCCUGCAAUCCCUCCAAUAUCCAAUAGGGGAUGAGGUGCAGCGAGCAAGUCCAAUAACCUACAGUGCUUGGAAUUUGUGGAAGGAGAGAUGCUGGCGAAUCUUUGAUAACAGAGCACCUGCCAGGCUCCAAUCCUGCGUCAGCGUCCCUGGCUCCGUGCCGGCUGCCGGUCUCCAAGAAUCAUGCGUCAGCGUCCCUCCAAUCCGAGGAGCGUCCCUUCAUUAUCCUUGCUGUUUUUGUUCUUUGCUGCCCAACAGUCCAAGUUUAUGUCCAAGACUGAAGACUCUAAGAGACAUUUGUUGUUUUGUUUAAUUAUACCCGCGGGUGUCCGAUACCCGCCCGAUACCCGAUGGGUACGGGCACGGGUACAAAAUCCUACCCGCGGGUAUAGACGCGGGCGGGUAUGAGUAACACCCCGCGGGUAUUAUUGCGGGCGGAUAUUUACCAUACCCGAUCCGAACCCGACCCAUUGCCAUCCCUAC